CUUGAACACUCUCGUGAUGUUGCCUCUAGGAACCCAGCCAGCAUGCUUGUGAGAAGCAUGCCUGAGUCCUAGAGAGUCAAUAGUCUCUGAUGAAUGCCACCCAACAGUCAAUAUCAACUGAAAGCCAUCUGCGUGAGCCAUCUCAGUCCAGUCAAGCUAUCAACAUGACUGCAGCAGCACUGGAGACUGCAAGAAAGAAUUGCCCAGCUUAGGCCAGUCAACACACAGGAUUACAAAAGUGUCUUUUCAGAGUGAUUAAGAGGGAGGAAAAGAUUUCAAAGGAGUGUAUUUUCCAGAAAUAAUUGAGUAUUAUUAGAGCGACAGUUGAAUAUGUCAACCUAAACUCUCUAGCUAUGGGUCCGGGAAAAAAUGCAACCAAUCAAUCUUCUCACCAGUCUUGCCAUCCAGA
RNAcentral lists this long non-coding RNA (409 nucleotides) under Homo sapiens (human). RNAcentral describes it as "HSALNT0078291". Lineage: Eukaryota; Metazoa; Chordata; Mammalia; Primates; Hominidae. The record is from RNAcentral.